Molecule: non-coding RNA, 130 nt
Organism: Papilio xuthus (Asian swallowtail)
Lineage: Eukaryota; Metazoa; Arthropoda; Insecta; Lepidoptera; Papilionidae
Source: Rfam
AAAAAGGGUGUUUGCCGCUUCGAUGGCACGCGGCCGGCAACGGUCAGCGGGGUAUGGUUAUCAAGACAUACCCAACACAUAAUUUUUGUGAUCGCGAGGCAGUUGGCUACCCAUAUGUACCGGCGCUUCG